RNAcentral lists this ribosomal RNA (393 nucleotides) under uncultured bacterium. Its description in RNAcentral is "partial 16S ribosomal RNA". It matches the Rfam family "Bacterial small subunit ribosomal RNA", at positions 523 to 918 of the family's 1533-position model. The record is from RNAcentral.
AUACGGAGGAUCCGAGCGUUAUCCGGAUUUAUUGGGUUUAAAGGGAGCGUAGGUGGAUUGUUAAGUCAGUUGUGAAAGUUUGCGGCUCAACCGUAAAAUUGCAGUUGAAACUGGCAGUCUUGAGUACAGUAGAGGUGGGCGGAAUUCGUGGUGUAGCGGUGAAAUGCUUAGAUAUCACGAAGAACUCCGAUUGCGAAGGCAGCUCACUAGACUGUUACUGACACUGAUGCUCGAAAGUGUGGGUAUCAAACAGGAUUAGACACCCUGGUAGUCCACACAGUAAACGAUGAAUACUCGCUGUUUGCGAUAUACAGUAAGCGGCCAAGCGAAAGCAUUAAGUAUUCCACCUGGGGAGUACUCCGGCAACGGUGAAACUCAAAGGAAUUGACGGGG